Molecule: non-coding RNA, 21 nt
Filed under: Caenorhabditis elegans
Lineage: Eukaryota; Metazoa; Nematoda; Chromadorea; Rhabditida; Rhabditidae
Source: RNAcentral
UAACGUUUUUUUGUUGUGGUA